This 450-nucleotide ribosomal RNA is filed under the name Blochmannia endosymbiont of Camponotus textor. RNAcentral describes it as "bacterial SSU rRNA". It matches the Rfam family "Bacterial small subunit ribosomal RNA", at positions 379 to 821 of the family's 1533-position model. The record is from RNAcentral. Lineage: Bacteria; Pseudomonadati; Pseudomonadota; Gammaproteobacteria; Enterobacterales; Enterobacteriaceae.
AACCCUGAUGCAGCUAUACCGUGUGUGUGAAGAAGGCCUUAGGGUUGUAAAGCACUUUCAAUGGGGAAGAAUUUAAUAUUGCUAAUAUCGAUAUUAGUUGACGCUACCUAUAUAAGAAGCACCGGCUAACUCCGUGCCAGCAGCCGCGGUAAUACGGAGGGUGCAAGCGUUAAUCGGAAUUACUGGGCGUAAAGAGUACGUAGGUGGUUUGUUAAGUCAGAUGUGAAAUCCCUGAGCUUAACUUAGGAACUGCAUUUGAAACUAAUAAACUAGAGUUUCGUAGAGGGGGGUAGAAUUCCAGGUGUAGCGGUGAAAUGCGUAGAGAUCUGGAGGAAUACCAGUGGCGAAGGCGACCCCCUGGACGGAAACUGACACUCAGGUACGAAAGCAUGGGGAGCAAACAGGAUUAGAUACCCUGGUAGUCCAUGCCGUAAACGAUGUCGAUUUGAA